Molecule: ribosomal RNA, 1054 nt
Filed under: Paracalliope fluviatilis
Lineage: Eukaryota; Metazoa; Arthropoda; Malacostraca; Amphipoda; Paracalliopiidae
Description: partial large subunit ribosomal RNA
Rfam family: Eukaryotic large subunit ribosomal RNA
Source: RNAcentral
GAAUUUUGCGUAAAGGGAACGAUCAUGCACUCGUGCUCACGCACGGGUGUCUGCCCAAUGGCACAUAGCAUUCGACCUAAGUCCAGGGGUGAAACUCUGCCGAGUGACUAGUUUGCUCUACUUCUCCAUGGAGGGUGAAAGACCCGUGUGGCGAAUGCAUAGUGUCUGGGUUUGAUUGUUUUCCCUGAGAGUCGCGUUGCUUGAGCAUGCAGCGCAAAGCAGGACGUAGACUCGUCCUAAGGCUAAAUAUUUCCACAGAACCGAUAGCGAACAAGUACCGUGAGGGAAAGUUGAAAAGGACUCUGAAGAGAGAGUUAAAAGACCGUGAAACCGUACAGGGCAGAGACUGAUGGAUUUGGCUUUCCGGUGGCAAUGAGAGGGAUGUGUGUACUACUUUGUGGUACCGUCCCUCUCUGUGUGAGGUUGGCUUAUAUGGAAGACAGUGGAAGUGUGUUCAGUGAAACGACAGUUUUGCAAAGCUGUGUGACGGUUGUAACACAGCAAUGAGCCACAAACGCACGGGGUUUUGGUGUCGGAUGAUGGGUAUGUCAGCUUGCACGAUUCGCUCUGCAUUCUUAAAUACCUUGAGGCAGUCUUGAGUGCGCAUCCACGUUGAGAUCCUCUUACCGUAGCCACCGGAAUGCACCAACGCUUUACGAGGUCAGGGUGCCACACGGCUCUCCGAGUCGUGUGUUGUCUGAGAGUAUCAUGUUUCGAUCUGAAACGCAGUGAGGUUAUUUCAUUAUGACCCAUCACGCUGGCGUAACUGUUUGGGAAUCGUGAAGGAGCGUGCGUGUGUUGCUUCCUCACCCAGCAACACACAUUGUAACGCUCCGCAGGACUGGUGUUUGGGUGGACUCAUUCGAACGUCGGUGAUGCGGUACGCUCAGUCCUAAUUUUGUGUGCGUCAUACACCCGAGGCAGUCGCAAGAUUGCUUCGAGGCGACACGAAUUCCACGGACUUGCGUGCUUUAGCUGCCCAUGUUUGGUCUGUUCUGUAUAGCCCCGCCUGGUUCUUCAUGCCCUGAACCUGUCAGGGUAUUCAUUGCUGAGG